Molecule: small RNA, 84 nt
Filed under: Salmonella enterica subsp. enterica serovar Typhimurium
Lineage: Bacteria; Pseudomonadati; Pseudomonadota; Gammaproteobacteria; Enterobacterales; Enterobacteriaceae
Description: RtT RNA
Rfam family: RtT RNA
About the family: This family represents a bacterial cis-regulatory element known as RtT RNA. The exact function of RtT is unknown although it is thought that it may be involved in changing the cellular response in relation to amino acid starvation.
Source: RNAcentral
UGAGAACCUUCGAUUAAGGUUCGACUCGAGCGAAAGAACGUUGCCAACGGUAACGGCCCGUAGGGUGAGGAGUGAAGCGACGAA